Molecule: ribosomal RNA, 253 nt
Filed under: uncultured Oscillospira sp.
Lineage: Bacteria; Bacillati; Bacillota; Clostridia; Eubacteriales; Oscillospiraceae
Description: partial 16S ribosomal RNA
Rfam family: Bacterial small subunit ribosomal RNA
Source: RNAcentral
UACGGAGGAUCCGAGCGUUAUCCGGAUUUACUGGGUGUAAAGGGCGUGUAGGCGGGAAAGCAAGUCAGAUGUGAAAACCAUGGGCUCAACCUGUGGCCUGCAUUUGAAACUGUUUUUCUUGAGUACUGGAGAGGCAGACGGAAUCCCUAGUGUAGCGGUGAAAUGCGUAGAUAUACGGAGGAACACCAGUGGCGAAGGCGGAUUGCUGGACAGUAACUGACGCUGAGGCGCGAAAGCGUGGGGAGCAAACAGG